This 839-nucleotide ribosomal RNA is filed under the name Acinetobacter baumannii AB056. Its description in RNAcentral is "bacterial SSU rRNA". It matches the Rfam family "Bacterial small subunit ribosomal RNA", at positions 8 to 841 of the family's 1533-position model. The record is from RNAcentral. Lineage: Bacteria; Pseudomonadati; Pseudomonadota; Gammaproteobacteria; Moraxellales; Moraxellaceae.
AGAGUUUGAUCAUGGCUCAGAUUGAACGCUGGCGGCAGGCUUAACACAUGCAAGUCGAGCGGGGGAAGGUAGCUUGCUACCGGACCUAGCGGCGGACGGGUGAGUAAUGCUUAGGAAUCUGCCUAUUAGUGGGGGACAACAUCUCGAAAGGGAUGCUAAUACCGCAUACGUCCUACGGGAGAAAGCAGGGGAUCUUCGGACCUUGCGCUAAUAGAUGAGCCUAAGUCGGAUUAGCUAGUUGGUGGGGUAAAGGCCUACCAAGGCGACGAUCUGUAGCGGGUCUGAGAGGAUGAUCCGCCACACUGGGACUGAGACACGGCCCAGACUCCUACGGGAGGCAGCAGUGGGGAAUAUUGGACAAUGGGGGGAACCCUGAUCCAGCCAUGCCGCGUGUGUGAAGAAGGCCUUAUGGUUGUAAAGCACUUUAAGCGAGGAGGAGGCUACUUUAGUUAAUACCUAGAGAUAGUGGACGUUACUCGCAGAAUAAGCACCGGCUAACUCUGUGCCAGCAGCCGCGGUAAUACAGAGGGUGCGAGCGUUAAUCGGAUUUACUGGGCGUAAAGCGUGCGUAGGCGGCUUAUUAAGUCGGAUGUGAAAUCCCCGAGCUUAACUUGGGAAUUGCAUUCGAUACUGGUGAGCUAGAGUAUGGGAGAGGAUGGUAGAAUUCCAGGUGUAGCGGUGAAAUGCGUAGAGAUCUGGAGGAAUACCGAUGGCGAAGGCAGCCAUCUGGCCUAAUACUGACGCUGAGGUACGAAAGCAUGGGGAGCAAACAGGAUUAGAUACCCUGGUAGUCCAUGCCGUAAACGAUGUCUACUAGCCGUUGGGGCCUUUGAGGCUUU